GAAGCGACGCCGAUCUCCUCCUCCUCUUCAUCGCGUCGCCCACACCCGACCACCUCCUCAUCUUCCCCCCAAGACGAUCCUCUCCCUCACCCUAUUCCUCUUCUCAAUACAAGCCGACAACCUCUCUACCUGAUCCCAUUUCUUCCCCUCUUCAUCACUGUUCUUCUUCUGAUCCACUGCAGUCAGCCCGAGCGCCACUCGAGUGUCGCCUUUCGGAACAACGUUGGUGUGGCGCUAUCUUCUCCAUGAGAAGAUCACUCGACGAGGUGGUAGAUCUAUCGCCAAGAUCUAUUUCUGAUCGCCUAGGCGCUGCGCCAACCAUCGCUGGAGACCAUCUCCUCUCCCGAUUUGCCGCGAGUCACAGUGCCUAGCCACUUCUCGCAACAUGCAUCCAAGCUUGUUGUUGUGCCCUAGUUCCAAACCACCGCCGACCAUUUUUGGUCUUUCCGAUCAGAGACACCAUCUUCAACAAAAGCAUGCAGAUCGGGAUUUAGGGUUGAAGCUGUCAGGAGGUUCCAGUCGCUAGUCCCCACCCUGAGUCGUGACAGUUUUCUACCUUUGGACUUGUGAUUUCCUUGUUAUAUUUUUAUAUAUUUAUGAUGUAUAACUGUAGUCGUGG
Zingiber officinale is the source of this 619-nucleotide long non-coding RNA. RefSeq lists it as uncharacterized. The transcript is spliced from 3 exons. The record is from RefSeq and is a predicted model, not a curated record. Lineage: Eukaryota; Viridiplantae; Streptophyta; Magnoliopsida; Zingiberales; Zingiberaceae.